CCCUUAGAUGUUCUGGGCCGCACGCGCGCUACACUGAUGCAUUCAACGAGUCUAAAACCUGCUCUGAUAGGGGUGGGUAAUCUUUUGAAUGUGCAUCGUGAUUGGGAUAGAUGAUUGCAAUUUUUCAUCUUCAACGAGGAAUGCCUAGUAAACGCAAGUCAUCAGCGUGCAUUGAUUACGUCCCUGCCCUUUGUACACACCGCCCGUCGCUCCUACCGAUUGAAUGAUCCGAUGAAUAUCAUGGAUUGAGGAUGCAAGUAGGUUCGCCUAUCUUCAUCUUCGAGAAGUGAAGUAAAUCUUAUCAUUUAGAGGAAGGAGAAGUCGUAACA
RNAcentral lists this ribosomal RNA (329 nucleotides) under uncultured eukaryote. RNAcentral's name for it is "partial 18S ribosomal RNA". It matches the Rfam family "Eukaryotic small subunit ribosomal RNA", at positions 1470 to 1796 of the family's 1831-position model. The record is from RNAcentral.